AUGGUGGCUCAGGCGGGGCAACCUUCGGGUUGGCCGGUAUCCAUUGAGGCCGGUUUCUCACCCCCGUCUGGGCUACCACCCUUGCGUGAGAACUUCGGUGGUAGCAAUAACCAUUACUCAAUGGAGGCUGCCACCAUGGCUACUAUCCUCACCCCGUCACACCCGCAAUUUGUCUUCCUGUUUGCUGCCGUGCGCCGCAACACCACCACAUUACAGCCCUGCAUGCUGCGUACCGUUGCCACCUGUGAGCACGCCGCCCGCCGUGCUCUGGUACGUGAUUACGUGCUGUCGUUCGCGGGCCGUCUGCCUGUCGCGGAGGUGGCAUGA
Molecule: non-coding RNA, 327 nt
Filed under: Serratia quinivorans
Lineage: Bacteria; Pseudomonadati; Pseudomonadota; Gammaproteobacteria; Enterobacterales; Yersiniaceae
Source: RNAcentral